This 864-nucleotide ribosomal RNA is filed under the name uncultured Acidobacteriota bacterium. Its description in RNAcentral is "bacterial SSU rRNA". It matches the Rfam family "Bacterial small subunit ribosomal RNA", at positions 56 to 896 of the family's 1533-position model. The record is from RNAcentral. Lineage: Bacteria; Pseudomonadati; Acidobacteriota.
UGCAAGUCGAACGCGAAAGUCCACUUCGGGGGACAAGUAGAGUGGCGCACGGGUGAGUAACACGUAGGUAAUCUACCUUCGGAUGGGGAAUAACAAUCGGAAACGGUUGCUAAUACCGCAUAAUGCAGCGGCACCUAAUGGUGACAGUUGUUAAAGCGGGGGAUCGAAAGACCUCGCGUCUGAAGAGGAGCCUGCGGCGGAUUAGCUAGUUGGUAAGGUAAUGGCUUACCAAGGCUACGAUCCGUAACCGGCCCGAGAGGGCGGUCGGUCACACUGACACUGACGUACGGGUCAGACUCCUACGGGAGGCAGCAGUCGGGAAUUUUGGGCAAUGGGCGAAAGCCUGACCCAGCAACGCCGCGUGAAGGAUGAAAUCCCUCGGGAUGUAAACUUCGCAAGAACGGGAAGAAUAAGUAGGGGUCAAUACCCCCUAUGAUGACGGUACCGUUUGUAAGCUCCGGCUAACUCCGUGCCAGCAGCCGCGGUAAUACGGGGGGAGCAAGCGUUGUUCGGAUUUACUGGGCGUAAAGGGCGCGUAGGCGGUCAGCACAAGUCAGUUGUGAAAUCUCCGAGCUUAACUCGGAAAGGUCAACUGAUACUGUGCGACUAGAGUGCAGAAGGGGCAACUGGAAUUCUCGGUGUAGCGGUGAAAUGCGUAGAUAUCGAGAGGAACACCUGCGGCGAAGGCGGGUUGCUGGGCUGACACUGACGCUGAGGCGCGAAAGCUAGGGGAGCGAACGGGAUUAGAUACCCCGGUAGUCCUAGCCUUAAACGAUGAAUGCUUGGUGUCUGGGGUUAUAAAGUCCCCGGGUGCCGUCGCUAACGCUUUAAGCAUUCCGCCUGGGGAGUACGGUCGCAAGACUG